AUGUUGCACGCCCCAAUGCUGUUCACAACCAAGUUGCCUUGCACACUCACAUCCCAUUGCACGUCCAAGUGGCUUUGCACACUCAAAUCCUCUUGCACACCCAAGUGUCGUUGUAUGUCCCAGUUGCAUUGCACACCCAAAUCCCAUUGCACAUCCAAGCUGCUUUGCACGCUCAAAUCCCUUUGCACACCCAAAUCCUGUUGCACACCCACGUGUCGUUGCAAGUCACAGUUGCGUUGCACACCUGAAUUCUGUUGCACACCCCAAUCCUGUUGCAAGUGCCAGCUGUGUUGCACACUCAAAUCCCAUUGCAAGUCCAAGUUGUGUUGCACGCCCCAAUGCUGUUCACACUCAAGUUGCUUUGCACACCCAAAUCCUGUUGCACACCCACAUGUUGCUGCAAGUCACAGUUGCGUUGCACACUCAAAUCCCAUUGCAAGUCCAAGUUGUGUUGCACACCCCAGUGCUGUUCACACUCAAGUUGCGUUGCACACUCAAAUCCCACUGCAAGUCCAAGUUGUGUUGCACGCCGCAAUCCCCUUGCACGUCCAGGUGUCAUUGCACGUCCAAGUGUUGUUGCAAGUCUCAGUUGUGUUGCACACCCCCAUCCCCUUGCAUGUCCCAGUUGUGUUGCACGGCCUGUUUGCAUUGCACGCCCCAAUCCCUUUGCACAACCACGUGUCGUUGCAGGCCCCAGUUGCAUCGCACAUCCCAAUCCCAUUGCACACCCAAGUGUCGUUGCACGUCCAGGUAGCGUUGCACACUCAAGUGUCAUUGCAAGUCCAAGUAGUGUUGCACACCCCAAUGCUGUUGCACACCCCCGCCCCUUUGCACAUCCACGUGUCGUUGCAAGCUCAGGCAGCGUUGCACGCCCCAGUCCCUUUGCACGUCCACGUGUCGUUGCAGGGUCCCCGUUGCAUUGCAAGUCCCAGUCGUGUUGCAAAUCUCAGUUGCAUUGCACACUCCAAACCCUUUGCACAUCCAUGUGUUGCAUUGCACACCCCCGUCCCUUUGCACAUCCACAUCUCGUUGCAAGUCCAAGUGUCGUUGCAAGUCCAAGUGUUGUUGCAGAUCCCGGUUGCAUUGCACUCUCCAAUCCCUUUGCACAUCCAGGUGUCGUUGCACAUCCAUGUCUUGUUGCAAGUCCCAGCUGCAUUGCACACCCCAAUCCCUUUGCAAGUCCCGGUUGC
Molecule: long non-coding RNA, 1190 nt
Filed under: Numida meleagris (helmeted guineafowl)
Lineage: Eukaryota; Metazoa; Chordata; Aves; Galliformes; Numididae
Description: lncRNA (ENSNMEG00000002656.1)
Source: RNAcentral